RNAcentral lists this ribosomal RNA (1539 nucleotides) under Klebsiella pneumoniae. RNAcentral's name for it is "bacterial SSU rRNA". It matches the Rfam family "Bacterial small subunit ribosomal RNA". The record is from RNAcentral. Lineage: Bacteria; Pseudomonadati; Pseudomonadota; Gammaproteobacteria; Enterobacterales; Enterobacteriaceae.
AAAUUGAAGAGUUUGAUCAUGGCUCAGAUUGAACGCUGGCGGCAGGCCUAACACAUGCAAGUCGAGCGGUAGCACAGAGAGCUUGCUCUCGGGUGACGAGCGGCGGACGGGUGAGUAAUGUCUGGGAAACUGCCUGAUGGAGGGGGAUAACUACUGGAAACGGUAGCUAAUACCGCAUAACGUCGCAAGACCAAAGUGGGGGACCUUCGGGCCUCAUGCCAUCAGAUGUGCCCAGAUGGGAUUAGCUAGUAGGUGGGGUAACGGCUCACCUAGGCGACGAUCCCUAGCUGGUCUGAGAGGAUGACCAGCCACACUGGAACUGAGACACGGUCCAGACUCCUACGGGAGGCAGCAGUGGGGAAUAUUGCACAAUGGGCGCAAGCCUGAUGCAGCCAUGCCGCGUGUGUGAAGAAGGCCUUCGGGUUGUAAAGCACUUUCAGCGGGGAGGAAGGCGUUAAGGUUAAUAACCUUGGCGAUUGACGUUACCCGCAGAAGAAGCACCGGCUAACUCCGUGCCAGCAGCCGCGGUAAUACGGAGGGUGCAAGCGUUAAUCGGAAUUACUGGGCGUAAAGCGCACGCAGGCGGUCUGUCAAGUCGGAUGUGAAAUCCCCGGGCUCAACCUGGGAACUGCAUUCGAAACUGGCAGGCUAGAGUCUUGUAGAGGGGGUAGAAUUCCAGGUGUAGCGGUGAAAUGCGUAGAGAUCUGGAGGAAUACCGGUGGCGAAGGCGGCCCCCUGGACAAAGACUGACGCUCAGGUGCGAAAGCGUGGGGAGCAAACAGGAUUAGAUACCCUGGUAGUCCACGCCGUAAACGAUGUCGAUUUGGAGGUUGUGCCCUUGAGGCGUGGCUUCCGGAGCUAACGCGUUAAAUCGACCGCCUGGGGAGUACGGCCGCAAGGUUAAAACUCAAAUGAAUUGACGGGGGCCCGCACAAGCGGUGGAGCAUGUGGUUUAAUUCGAUGCAACGCGAAGAACCUUACCUGGUCUUGACAUCCACAGAACUUAGCAGAGAUGCUUUGGUGCCUUCGGGAACUGUGAGACAGGUGCUGCAUGGCUGUCGUCAGCUCGUGUUGUGAAAUGUUGGGUUAAGUCCCGCAACGAGCGCAACCCUUAUCCUUUGUUGCCAGCGGUCCGGCCGGGAACUCAAAGGAGACUGCCAGUGAUAAACUGGAGGAAGGUGGGGAUGACGUCAAGUCAUCAUGGCCCUUACGACCAGGGCUACACACGUGCUACAAUGGCAUAUACAAAGAGAAGCGACCUCGCGAGAGCAAGCGGACCUCAUAAAGUAUGUCGUAGUCCGGAUUGGAGUCUGCAACUCGACUCCAUGAAGUCGGAAUCGCUAGUAAUCGUAGAUCAGAAUGCUACGGUGAAUACGUUCCCGGGCCUUGUACACACCGCCCGUCACACCAUGGGAGUGGGUUGCAAAAGAAGUAGGUAGCUUAACCUUCGGGAGGGCGCUUACCACUUUGUGAUUCAUGACUGGGGUGAAGUCGUAACAAGGUAACCGUAGGGGAACCUGCGGUUGGAUCACCUCCUUA